CACCAUGAGUGCUUUGAGACUGUGGGAAGAAACCAGCGCAGAUGCAGGCAGACUGGCUGGCAGAUGUGCUCCAAAGUUAAACUCAACAACAAACAAAUGCAAGCUACAAAGGAAAGAAAAAAAUAAGGGUUCCAUUGUGAAGUCACGAGGAAAAGCUGGAAUUGUGGCAGAAGAAUCGCUGUUGGGGUAGCAGAGGACAGGUGAAGCAGUUUGACACUGUUUCAAUAGGAUAAUGUGAAUACUGUGACACGGCCGUGUAGAUCUAUGGGACAGAAAUGAGGAAACGGCUUGUUUCACGACUUUGAUGCUCCAGCUUGGAACAUAUGUGGAAAAACUGACAGAGUCAGCUGACUCAUCCUUCGCUAUAUUCUAAACAAGCGGGCAAGUGCAUGUGAGGUGUACUUCCUGAGGACAGCACAGGCCGGAUCUGCCGUGCUGUGGGAGGAUUGCUCUGGCAUGGUUUGGAUCCAGCUUUGGGAUCAGACCACCUGGGCCUUCACCCUCAAACCUUCAGUCCACAGGUGUAGCGUCUCGGGAAAGUUGCAGAGACUCGAAGCUCUAAAAAUGUUACCAGGAAACAUUUUCUAUGUAAAACAAAAAUAAAACAAAUCAAAUAUACCAAGUAA
Molecule: long non-coding RNA, 626 nt
Organism: Oreochromis aureus
Lineage: Eukaryota; Metazoa; Chordata; Actinopteri; Cichliformes; Cichlidae
Exons: 3
Source: RefSeq, a predicted model, not a curated record